Long non-coding RNA from Mauremys mutica (yellowpond turtle), 650 nucleotides. RefSeq lists it as uncharacterized. Lineage: Eukaryota; Metazoa; Chordata; Testudines; Geoemydidae. The record is from RefSeq and is a predicted model, not a curated record. The transcript is spliced from 4 exons.
CAUAAACUGUUCUGAUAAUAUUCCAUGUUUGCAGGUGGUUUAAUCAUCAGUAUUUUUGGAAGAAUGUUAGAGAAUAGAUGGAUUGGGGUCCCGCCCUCCACAGCUCACCUAGAUCCACAACUCUAGCUGCCUCUAUGCAAUCAGCAGUGGGGACCUGACCCACUUGUAAAGAACCAGUAGCCAUGCCCCUUCUUUGAGAAGAGCAAUUGAAUGAGAAGAAUGCCACCAAGCUAAUGAAAAUGGCUAGCAUGAUUUUUUGAAAAUGUAGCAGUCUCUGUAACUAAAGAACACAUGCCUGAAAUGCUGAAACGAUGUGGAGAUGGACACCGAAGAAGCUGAAUUCAUUGCUUAAGAAUGAUGCCAGAUUGCUGGCAAUGCUGAAGACUAAAGUGUAUCCAGCGGUAUAACACAAGCAGAGCCAUAUAAAAUAUUCUCCAUUCCCCACUGAAUCCUGUGAGGAACCAUUGGAAAGAUCUGGCAGGACACCUUCUAAAGAUGAGAGGGGUCAAAACCGGUCCUUCUGGUGUACCCACAGCUCCCCUAGACUUCAAUUCAAGCUUUGGAGACACAGAAAUACAAGACUGAGUACUAGAUGAUAUCAUGAUUCUUUGUAAUAUGGUAUCAAUAAAUUUCUGCUCUGUAUAUAUUCA